AUGCAUCCAUGUGCAAAUCUCCUAGCAUUGAGCGGACGGAUCCAAGGGAAUUGGGGCGGGCAGCCAGCUGGCAGUGCACGCAUGGGCGAUCACGACGCAACAAAGUUCUGGGGACUGGGAGCGGACGGACGUGGCCCAAGGGAGAACAUGGGUGGGGAGCGUGCAGACCAUCGACGAAAGAGAACAACACUGGGUUUGUUAAUUACUCAACAAAUCAGAGAUCGAUCUCUUUUUUUAGAUGCAAAUAUUUUUCAAUUUAAUAUGUCCACUCCCCGUUACUACGUGACAUAUUUAGAUGCACUAGGUUUCGCAUUAAAAAUAUGCUUACUGUUUCUUCCUUCAGUUUUGGUGAACUUUCUGGUAGCAAGAUGUGCAAGAAAGCUAUUUCAUUCUGGAGACAUAAGUCAUCAACUUUCUCAUAGAGUCGUACAUAAACUGUUCUUUUUUUGA
This 450-nucleotide ribosomal RNA is filed under the name Triticum aestivum (bread wheat). Its description in RNAcentral is "partial small subunit ribosomal RNA". Lineage: Eukaryota; Viridiplantae; Streptophyta; Magnoliopsida; Poales; Poaceae. The record is from RNAcentral.